GAGACCUAGAAGGCAAGUAAAGAGGUGAGGAAGGAAAUGGUGUAGGGAACACUGCACUUUGGGUGGGGGAUUUGAUGUAGCUGUGCAGUACAGGGCCCGGGGCUGUAACCCAGAUUUGAGGUUGGGACUGGAUUCCCUACCAGCCCCAAGGAAGUGGCAUACAAGGGUAGGUGAGCCCAGCGAGGGGGCUGCAGGCUGAAUGUGACUGUGCUAAAGAAGAGCUGUGCAGAGGGUGGAAGCUUUUGAUUUCUGUUAAGAGAGUUUUGAACUUUAGUUUGGGUAGCUGACCCUGGAAGGAACGGGCUAAAGACUGUGCCCUGGCUGGAGGGAUAUGAGUUCUCUGAAAGAAACCACCACAGCCACAGAGUGACUGUUGAUGAGGGCUGCUGCCCUACAAGCACUGUCAUGCCAUGCCUGGCCAUGAGGAAGUGCAGAGUGGUAUAAAGGCCAAGUCCUGGAAAGUCUUGAUAGAGGAUCUUAAACAGCAUAGUGUAGAGACCAUCCAACCAGAGAUCCCUCCAGAGCACCUGAUGGGCAUCCAAUACCAGCAUAUGCCAGAGUCAUGAUGCCAGUUUGCAUGGGGGCCCACAGAGCAACGUGAACAGAUAAAUUAAUUGGAAUUCUGCCAUCAUGACAUGAAAAAUCAAGCUGGCCAGAUGCUGAUCAGUGUAUAUCAGAAAUGGAGAAACUUUAUUCGCUUGAACAGAGUUAUUCUGAAUCAAUUCAUCUUAGGAGAGUUCUCUGUCCUUGGGGAGAGUAAAAUCUGAGAGAGGCCGUUUACUAGUUAGGGGAAAAGCCUAGGAUAUGGGAGACAUUAAUUCAGUUACCUCUUCGUAGAGGAAGAAUCAAUGAGUGGCAUCUGUUCCCCUCCCCACCUUUUGGGGAUUGGCUAGCUUUUCACAGUGUAAAAUAAGGAACAUGGGAGACGGCUUUUGGUGAGGGACCAAGGAAGCUGGCA
Long non-coding RNA from Chelonia mydas (Green sea turtle), 958 nucleotides. RefSeq lists it as uncharacterized. The transcript has 4 exons. The record is from RefSeq and is a predicted model, not a curated record. Lineage: Eukaryota; Metazoa; Chordata; Testudines; Cheloniidae.